CGAGGUUGGUUUAGGUUUAAGUACAGAUGUAGAAACGGCCCGGGGCUACAACCGUACGGUAAUUGCUAUUAGUAAACGUGGACAAACUAGAGUACUGUAGGAGGGGGGUAGGAAUUUCAGGUGUAGCGGUGAAAUGCGUAGAGAUCUGAAGGAAUACCGGUGGCGAAGGCGGCCCCCUGGACAGAUACUGACACUCAGAUGCGAAAGCGUGGGGAGCAAACAGGAUUAGAUACCCUGGUAG
RNAcentral lists this ribosomal RNA (241 nucleotides) under uncultured bacterium. RNAcentral's name for it is "partial 16S ribosomal RNA". It matches the Rfam family "Bacterial small subunit ribosomal RNA", at positions 571 to 793 of the family's 1533-position model. The record is from RNAcentral.